Long non-coding RNA from Drosophila willistoni, 522 nucleotides. RefSeq lists it as uncharacterized. The transcript is spliced from 3 exons. NCBI's taxonomy places the organism in Eukaryota, Metazoa, Arthropoda, Insecta, Diptera, Drosophilidae. The record is from RefSeq and is a predicted model, not a curated record.
CUCGGCAGGUUUCCCAUUCGAAUCAUUCGUCUGCCAAGUGUAAAGCAGUCAACAACUAUCGGACUUGAUUUCGUCAAAAUUUUCAGUAAAAAAAUAUGUAAAAACUAAAUCCUCUUAUUCAGAUCCCAAAGUACAAAGACGAUGGCGAUGUGGUUCCUUUCUCCAUAAGUAUAUGGAGGAUGGCCGAGGUCAUUGGUCUAUGGAGGAUUAGUAUUUUAAAAACCAAAUACCAUCUCUGUUAAAUUGCGUUAAUCUAUUCAAUUUAUUCUGCUCAACUUCUUGAAUGUCGACGGUACCGGGCCCCAGGAUUGGUUCUGCAGCUUUGCGUCGAUUAUUUUCGUUAUGCGUUAUGAAAGUAGAAUUAAGUAUACAUAAUUUCAAAAAAACUGGCAUUAUUGUUUUUUUUUUCUCAAAGAAUUUGUUACGCAUAAUCAAAGAUAAUGGAAAUCGACAGAAAUUGAUCGUUUUUGAGAUUGGCAUUAGUGCUUUCUUCACAGAAAUAAAUCGACAUUGUUCAAAAUA